Molecule: ribosomal RNA, 599 nt
Filed under: uncultured Methanomicrobiales archaeon
Lineage: Archaea; Methanobacteriati; Methanobacteriota; Methanomicrobia; Methanomicrobiales
Description: bacterial SSU rRNA
Rfam family: Archaeal small subunit ribosomal RNA
Source: RNAcentral
GGCCCUACGGGGCGCAGCAGGCGCGAAAACUUUACAAUGCGAGCAAUCGUGAUAAGGAAACCCUGAGNGCCUGUUAUCACAGGCUGUUCUGGUGUCUAACACACACCAGGAGAAAGGGCGGGGCAAGACCGGUGCCAGCCGCCGCGGUAAUACCGGCUGCUCGAGUGAUAGCCACUUUUACUGGGCUUAAAGCGUUCGUAGCUUGGUCGUUAAGUCUCUGGGGAAAUCUUUUGGCUCAACCAAAAGGCGUCUCAGGGAAACUGGCGACCUAGGAACCGGGAGAGGUAAGACGUACUUCGGGGGUAGGAGUGAAAUCUUGUAAUCCCCGAGGGACGACCGAUGGCGAAGGCAUCUUACCAGAACGGCUUCGACAGUGAGGGACGAAAGCUGGGGGAGCAAACCGGAUUAGAUACCCGGGUAGUCCCAGCCGUAAACGAUGUGCGUUAGGUGUGUCAGCGACCACGAGUCGCUGAGGUGCCGAAGGGAAACCGUGAAACGCACCGCCUGGGAAGUACGGUCGCAAGGCUGAAAUUUAAAGGAAUUGGCGGGGGAGCACCACAACGGGUGGAGCCUGCGGUUUAAUUGGAUUCAACGCCGGA